Molecule: regulatory RNA element, 131 nt
Organism: Bacillus sp. MRMR6
Lineage: Bacteria; Bacillati; Bacillota; Bacilli; Caryophanales; Bacillaceae
Rfam family: PyrR binding site
About the family: This family represents the PyrR binding site and terminator structure. This RNA structure is found upstream of a variety of genes involved in pyrimidine biosynthesis and transport.
Source: Rfam
AAGACCUUUUAAAUAAGUCCAGAGAGGCUAAGAAGGGUGUAAAGGCUGAGUUCAUAAAUUUUCUUAGGAUAAAUUAUGGACAUAGUCUUAUGUAACUGCACCCUGAUCAAUCUGAUCGGGGUAUUUUUUUA